Camellia sinensis is the source of this 2411-nucleotide non-coding RNA. The record is from RefSeq and is a predicted model, not a curated record. NCBI's taxonomy places the organism in Eukaryota, Viridiplantae, Streptophyta, Magnoliopsida, Ericales, Theaceae.
AAGAAGUAUAUUCCUAGUUACAUCUUCAGAAAAAUGGUGAGUAAUUCAAGUUACUUUCACUAGGCAUGUUGAUUGAUGAUGUGUUAUUUUUUAUUUAAAUUUCAAAAUAGAAUAGGAAUAGGAGUCCAACUACUCUGUUUCAUCAAAAACAGAAUGUGAUAAUCUUGUAGAAUAUCUGGAGUCCUACAAGUUUAAGAAUCUCAAACUGAAUAUAGUUUUUGAGGGCAGGUUGGCUGUUGGUACUACUAUGGAAGAGGUGUAUUCCUGGUGACAUGGUAGAUAUUUCGACUUAAAUUUUUAUAUGCUUGUACCAUGAAGUACCCUGGUGAACACAAUAUCCAAUGGGAUAACCUAUACUUCAAAAUAGUGGCAAAGCUUGUGUAUCAUAUAGAUCUGUUAUCCAGAAAUGCCUGCACUCAGAUGCUAAUUCUGGAAGCCAUGUUUUCAUAUUGUACACCUGUCCAUAUGAAUCUGUUAUCCAUAUACCUGUACCGCAAGCUCAUCUUGGAGUCCAUAUAUCCAUGUUAUAGAUCUUGCAUAUAUUCUGCCUCCACCCCAGAUGGCUUUGUUACUGCCGUUGUUAUUAUCAUUGGUUAUUAUUAGUGUAUUUCUUAUUCUCUAUGUUGAACUACUGCUUGUUUAUGUCCACUUAUGCUUCCCAUAAUAUUCCCUAACAUGGCCCUUUUCUCCUCUAUUCUCUCCUUCAUUUGGCCUGCAUAAUGAACUUCUCAUUGAAAUAUAUAAAAAUCACCUACUAAAAAACAAAUAAAUGAUUUUUUUUUCUUAUUCCAUUUAUCCCUUUUUUUGGAUCAUUAUACAUUAAAGCUGACUUUGUUUCUCUGUGCCUUCAUCUUUAGGGGAGGAGAUAAUCUCUGGAGCUCAACGUGUCCACGUACCCGAAUUCUUGGCAACACGUGCAGAAGCCUGUGGAAUUGAUGUCAAAACUAUAUCAACAUAUAUUGAUUCUUUUGGGUAUGGUGCACCUCUGCAUGGUGGAUUUGGUGUGGGAUUGGAGCGUGUGGUGAUGCUCUUUUGUGCCCUAAACAACAUCCGCAAAACAUCACUCUUCCCUCGUGACCCUCUCAGGAUUGCUCCAUGACAUUUUAUUCUAGUAGCGUGUUCUGCCUGACUCUUUUUUGUCACCAAGAUUGUUUCCUCUGGAUGUUAUUUUGUUGGAAAUGUCUUACCAGAUAAAAUUUACUAGUUUUUCACUGGAAAAAGUAACAUUUACAUACAUCCCAAAAUUGUUCAUCUUCAUUAUUAUAUACGCAUGUUGUCCAAUUGCAUUGCAUGUGGUCAUUUGUUGUGCUGUGCAGUUUUUUCUGUUUCUAUUUUCCUCAUUGAUUUACACCUAAGAAGUUAUGUCAUGCUCAUAUCAAAAUAAAACCUAAAAAAAUGUUAUUAGGUCCUGAACUAGGCUACUUGUAUCAAUUACGUUGUCCCUCAAGUGCAUAAUUUCCUAAUUCUUUGAACAAGAACUUCCUACUUUAGUUAUUUAUUUUCUUCAAUUGUUAAAUGAAACUUUGUGACAAAUGAUGGUAUCAAUAUUACCAUCAUUUUUACUGCAUUCGUCCCAUAUUAAUAGUCGCUUUUGAAAAUUUUAAACUUUUUAAAGAAAUAUAACCAUUACAUUUUGAAUUCAAAAUUUAAAGGGUUAAUUUCAAAAAUAUCUUUCUAUUCUUAUUGUUAAAUAUAUUUAUAAUGCAAUUGAAGGCCUUGUCAUGAUUAUGGCAUCGAUAAAUGCCAAAUUCCUUAAUUGCAUUACUCAAAACUUCCAGCGUCUAGCAGGUAGCUGAGAAUCUUUACCGUUGGUUUUGAAUUUGGAUCGCAUUUAGAUUUGCUUGGGUUAUAUUUUGAUUCAGAGUAAUUAAUGUCAGUUUCAGUGGGCAGAUAUUCAUUGUGAAACAGAGUUGAGGUUUCAUCAAUUGUGAAGACUAUGGAUAGAGUUUACAAUUUUGUUAGUGCCUCAGAGAAUCAUUGUUUGGCUACAGUUGGCUUCAAGCGGAUGCUUAAUCAGCGUGGCAAAUUUGGGCAAAGGGUUUAUCAAAAGCAGCCGAUUUGUCCAUACAAAAGUUAAAUAUUUUACUCCAACCUAUAUGCCUUUUUAAAAUUCAUUAUAUUUUGAAGAAUUCCUCCCUAAAUCCAUCACAAUGUACUUCAAAUUUCACACGAGAGAGAGGGAAUACUUGAAAUUUCUUGCAGAAAAAUAGUAUAUUCAAAACUUUAUAUCUGCCUCAAGAUUUCUUUCAUGACUUCUUUGAGAUAUUUAUAUUUUUUUUCCGGAUCAAGGGCUAGAGGGAGUUUGAACGCCAAAAGAAUUCUCUUUGUUGAUGUAAACAUAAGUUUCUUCGCAGUUUGGGUUUUGGUAAUGGCCUCAAAUCGGGGUAAACAUAUUCAGUAUUUUGGUUUCA